This 2695-nucleotide ribosomal RNA is filed under the name Candidatus Fokinia solitaria. Its description in RNAcentral is "bacterial LSU rRNA". It matches the Rfam family "Bacterial large subunit ribosomal RNA". The record is from RNAcentral. Lineage: Bacteria; Pseudomonadati; Pseudomonadota; Alphaproteobacteria; Rickettsiales; Candidatus Midichloriaceae.
AAAAGAGCUUUUAGUGGAUGCCUUGGUGAUAAGAGACGAUGAAGGACGUAGUAAGCUGCGAUAAGCUGCGUGGAGGUGCUAACAUCCGUUAAUACGCAGAUUUCCGAAUGGGGAAACCCUUUGCACUACAAGUGCAAAAUCUCGAAAGAGAGGUGAACUCAGUGAACUGAAAUAUCUAAGUAACUGAAGGAAAAGAAAUCAAUUGAUAUUUCGUCAGUAGCGACGAGCGAACGCGAAUCAGGCUUUUGAAUUUAAAAAUUAGAAUGUGUUGGAAAGCACAGCAAUAUAAGGUGACAGCCCUGUAUAAGUAAAUUAAAUUCAUUUUUUUAAGAGUAAAGCGGGACACGUGAAAUCCUGUUUGAAUAUGGGGGGACCAUCCUCCAAGCCUAAAUACUACUUAUCAACCGAUAGCGAACUAGUACUGUGAAGGAAAGGUGAAAAGAACCUCGAGAGAGGAGUGAAAUAGAACUGAAACUAAUUGCUUAUGAGCAGUCAGAGCACAUAUGUGUGAUGGCGUACCUCUUGUAUAAUGGGUCAGCGAGUUAGUGUGUCUAGCAAGGUUAAGCUGUUAAGUGUAGCCGUAGCGAAAGCGAGUCUGAAUAGGGCGAGAAGUUAGACGUAUUAGACCCGAAACCGGGUGAUCUAGUCAUGAGCAGGCUGAAGUCAAGGUAAGAUUUGAUGGAGGGCCGAACUCGUCAAUGUUGCAAAAUUGUGAGAUGACUUGUGAUUAGGGGUGAAAGGCCAAUCAAACUCGGAAAUAGCUGGUUCUCCGCGAAAUCUAUUUAGGUAGAGCGUUGCUUAGUUUCUUAUCAGGGGUAGAGCACUGGAUCGGCUAGGGGGCCAAAAGCCUACCGAACCUAACUAAACUCCGAAUACUGAUAAUGAUGAGAGCAGCAGACAGGCUGUGGGUGCUAAGAUCCAUGGCCAAAAGGGAAACAGCCCAGAUCGUCGUCUAAGGUCCCUAAGAUAUGGUUAAGUGUUAAAGGAAGUAAAAACGCCAAAACAACUAGGAGGUUGGCUUAGAAGCAGCCAUCCCUUAAAGAAAGCGUAAUAGCUCACUAGUCUAAUAGCGAUUUUGCGCCGAAAAUGUAACGGGGCUAAAACCAUACACCGAAGACACGGGCUCAUUCGUUUGAAUGAGCGGUAGCGGAGCGUUGUGUAAGCCUGUGAAGAUGCAUCGUAAGGUGUGUUGGAGGUAUCACAAGUGAGAAUGCUGACAUGAGUAGCGUAAAGAGGUGUGGAAAACACCUCCGCCGAAAGUCCAAGGUUUUCUACGUAAAGUUAAUCUGCGUAGAGUUAGCCGGUUCCUAAGAUGAGGCUGAAAAGCGUAAUCGAUGGCAAUCUUGUUAAUAUUCAAGAGCCUGCUAGAAGUGACAAAUCUGUAACAUUACAAUUGGUUAAUGGAUUCUGAUUGUAGUGGAAAGGUUUCAGGAAAUAGCCUAGCAUAUAGACCGUACCCCAAACCGACACUGGUGGACUGGUAGAGAAUACCAAGGCGUAGAGAGAAUAAUGUUGAAGGAACUAGGCAAAUUGCAUCUGUAACUUCGGGAAAAAGAUGACCAUGCGCAAGUGUGGUGGCACAAACUAGGGGGUGGCGACUGUUUAUCAAAAACACAGGACUCUGCAAACUCGGAAGAGGAAGUAUAGGGUCUGACGCCUGCCCGGUGCUAGAAGGUUAAGGUGAGGGGUGCAAGCUCUGAUCCGAAGCCCUAGUAAACGGCGGCCGUAACUAUGACGGUCCUAAGGUAGCGAAAUUCCUUGUCGGGUAAGUUCCGACCUGCAUGAAUGGCGUAACGACUUCCCCACUGUCUCCAACAUUAACUCAGCGAAAUUGAAUUCUCCGUGAAGAUGCGGAGUGCCCGUGGUUAGACGGAAAGACCCCGUGAACCUUUACUGUAGUUUUGUAUUGAUUCCAGGAGUUUGUUGUUCAGGAUAGGUGGGAGACUGUGAUCUCAGAGUGUAAGCUUUGAGGGAGUCGUCCUUGAGAUACCACCCUGCAAGCUUUUGGUGUCUAACUGUGCUUUUUGAAUCAAAAGCCAAGACAGUGCAUGAUAGGCAGUUUGACUGGGAUGGUCGCCUCCUAAAGAGUAACGGAGGCGUACGAAGGUAAGCUCAAGUUGGUCGGAAAUCAACUGUAAGAGUGUAAUGGCAUAAGCUUGCCUGACUGCGAGAUUGACAAAUCGAGCAGAGACGAAAGUCGGUCAUAGUGAUCUGGUGAUCCCGCAUGGAAGGGUCAUCACUCAACGGAUAAAAGGUACUCCGGGGAUAACAGGCUGAUGAACUCUAAGAGUCCAUAUCGCCGAGUUCGUUUGGCACCUCGAUGUCGACUCAUCACAUCCUGGGGCGGUAGAAUGUCCCAAGGGUUCGGCUGUUCGCCGAUUAAAGUGGUACGUGAGUUGGGUUCAGAACGUCGUGAGACAGUUCGGUCCCUAUCUGCCAUGGGUGUAAGGAAAAUUGAGAGAAUCUGACUUUAGUACGAGAGGACCGAGUUGGACGUAUCUCUUGUGUACCAGUUGUUUUGCCAAGAGCAGCGCUGGGUAGCUAUAUACGGAAGGGAUAACCGCUGAAAGCAUCUAAGUGGGAAACCCGUCUCAAAAAUAAUUUUCCCUAUAGCACCGUAGAAGACUACUACGUUGAUAGGCUGAAUGUGUAAGUAGAGUAAUCUAUUUAGCUAAUCAGUACUAAUGUGUAAUUG